UCGAACGAUGAACCCGCUUCGGUGGGGGAUUAGUGGCGAACGGGUGAGUAACACGUGGGCAAUCUGCCCUUCACUCUGGGACAAGCCCUGGAAACGGGGUCUAAUACCGGAUAACACUGCGGACCGCAUGGUCUGUGGUUGAAAGCUCCGGCGGUGAAGGAUGAGCCCGCGGCCUAUCAGCUUGUUGGUGGGGUGAUGGCCUACCAAGGCGACGACGGGUAGCCGGCCUGAGAGGGCGACCGGCCACACUGGGACUGAGACACGGCCCAGACUCCUACGGGAGGCAGCAGUGGGGAAUAUUGCACAAUGGGCGAAAGCCUGAUGCAGCGACGCCGCGUGAGGGAUGACGGCCUUCGGGUUGUAAACCUCUUUCAGCAGGGAAGAAGCGAAAGUGACGGUACCUGCAGAAGAAGCGCCGGCUAACUACGUGCCAGCAGCCGCGGUAAUACGUAGGGCGCAAGCGUUGUCCGGAAUUAUUGGGCGUAAAGAGCUCGUAGGCGGCUUGUCGCGUCGGAUGUGAAAGCCCGGGGCUUAACCCCGGGUCUGCAUUCGAUACGGGCAGGCUAGAGUGUGGUAGGGGAGAUCGGAAUUCCUGGUGUAGCGGUGAAAUGCGCAGAUAUCAGGAGGAACACCGGUGGCGAAGGCGGAUCUCUGGGCCAUUACUGACGCUGAGGAGCGAAAGCGUGGGGAGCGAACAGGAUU
This 702-nucleotide ribosomal RNA is filed under the name Streptomyces sp. RNAcentral describes it as "bacterial SSU rRNA". It matches the Rfam family "Bacterial small subunit ribosomal RNA", at positions 62 to 779 of the family's 1533-position model. The record is from RNAcentral. Lineage: Bacteria; Bacillati; Actinomycetota; Actinomycetes; Kitasatosporales; Streptomycetaceae.